This 50-nucleotide ribosomal RNA is filed under the name Cladosiphon okamuranus. Its description in RNAcentral is "partial 28S rRNA". The record is from RNAcentral. Lineage: Eukaryota; Phaeophyceae; Ectocarpales; Chordariaceae. RNAcentral also lists the same sequence under 4 other names.
CGGACCUCCGAUCAAGCAAGAGGACCCGCUGAAUUUAAGCAUAUAACUAA